AGGGGGCCUGAGAGGGUGACCCCCCACGCGGGCACUGAGACACGGGCCCGACUCCUACGGGAGGCAGCAGUAAGGGAUAUUGCGACAAUGGGCGAAAGCCUGACGCAUCAACGCCGCGUGGAGGAUGAAGGCCUUCGGGUUGUAAACUCCUUUUCUGUGGGAAGAGGAAGGACGGUACCACAGGAAGAAGUCUCGGCUAACUACGUGCCAGCAGCCGCGGUAAAACGUAUGAGGCGAGCGUUAUCCGGAUUUACUGGGUGUAAAGCGCGUGCAGGCGGUCUGGUAAGUCGAGCGUGAAAGCUCCCGGCUCAACCGGGAGAGGACGUGCGAAACUGCGAGGCUAGAGACAGGUAGAGGCGUACGGAAUUCCGGGUGUAGUGGUGAAAUGCGUAGAUAUCCGGAGGAACACCAGUGGCGAAGGCGGUACGCUGGGCCUGGUCUGACGCUAAGACGCGAAAGCAUGGGGAGCGAACGGGAUUAGAAACCCCGGUAGUCCAUGCCGUAAACGAUGCUAACUAGGUGUUGCGGGUAAAAGACCGGCAGUGCCGGAGUUAACGCGAUAAGUUAGCCACCUGGGGACUACGGUCGCAAGGCUAAAACUCAAAGGAAUUGACGGGGGCCCGCACAAGCAGCGGAGCGUGUGGUUUAAUUCGAGGCUACACGAAGAACCUUACCUGGGCUUGACAUGACGGUGGUAGGGAACCGAAAGGGGACCGACCUUCGGGAGCCGUCACAGGUGCUGCAUGGCUGUCGUCAGCUCGUGUCGUGAGAUGUUCGGUUAAGUCCGGUAACGAGCGCAACCCUCAUCGCUAGUUACAAGUGUCUAGCGAGACUGCCCGUUCAACGCGGGAGGAAGGCGGGGAUGACGUCAAGUCAGCAUGGCCUUUAUGUCCAGGGCUACACACACGCUACAAUGGCCGGUACAAUGGGUCGCCAACCCGCGAGGGGGAGCCAAUCCACCAAAGCCGGUCACAGUUCGAAUUGCAGGCUGCAACCCGCCUGCAUGAAGUCGGAGUUGCUAGUAACCGCAGGUCAGCUAUACUGCGGUGAUACGUUCCCGGGCCUUGUACACACCGCCCGUCACGUCAUGGGAGCUGGUCAUGCCUGAAGUCGGUGAGCCAACCGCAA
This 1128-nucleotide ribosomal RNA is filed under the name uncultured organism. Its description in RNAcentral is "bacterial SSU rRNA". It matches the Rfam family "Bacterial small subunit ribosomal RNA", at positions 285 to 1444 of the family's 1533-position model. The record is from RNAcentral.